Molecule: ribosomal RNA, 233 nt
Filed under: uncultured bacterium
Lineage: Bacteria
Description: partial 16S ribosomal RNA
Rfam family: Bacterial small subunit ribosomal RNA
Source: RNAcentral
UACAGAGGGUGCAAGCGUUGUUCGGAAUUACUGGGCGUAAAGGGCGUGUAGGCGGUUUAACAAGUCAGAUGUGAAAUCCCAGGGCUUAACUCUGGAAGUGCAUUGAAACUGUUAGGCUAGAGUGCAGUAGAGGAUGGCGGAAUUCCCAGUGGAGAGGUGAAAUUCGUAGAAUAGUUGGGAGGAACGACCGGUGGCGAAGGACGGCCAGUCUGGGCUGUAACUGACGCUGAGGC